RNAcentral lists this long non-coding RNA (1680 nucleotides) under Paramuricea clavata. Lineage: Eukaryota; Metazoa; Cnidaria; Anthozoa; Malacalcyonacea; Plexauridae. The record is from RNAcentral.
AAAUAAAGUAAUUAAAUAAUAUUUAGAUAUCGUAACUUAAAUCCAAUAUUACUAGGCUAUAUGUGUCAAUAAACUGUUCGAAAAUGUCUUACUUCUGUGGCGAUAUUCCUUAGAUAAUAGUGCAUCCAACUUAGUUCCUGGUUAGCCGUAUAUUUUUAACAAAACUAUGUAUUUAUUUCCCUUAAAUAUAAACCUAAACAGUUCGAUCUGUAUUUCAUUGUCUGAUGCAAUCGUUAAGUGCAAAGUUCACUUCCGGCGUUCGUGCGGUUCACGUGAAUACCACGCUACCGAUCCACUCUCCCCCCGCGAUGAGGAUACCUCCUCAUCCCAUAACUUUAAUACUUAUCUCCGUGUCCUUCUGCCGGAUAUAUUACUGCGAUCUUGGUGAUAGGCCUUUCAUAGUAUGAGGUUGCCGUCUUCACUUUCAGGUUGCGUAUUUUUCCAUCCUUUCCAGGAAACACGUUAACAACUCUGCCAGUAAUCCAAUUUCCACGAACGGCAUUCGAAUCUUGAACGACUACGAUAUCAUCAACUCUGACAUUUCUUCUCUCGACCUUCCAUUUUUUCCUCGGUACUAGUGAUGGAAAAACAUCUCUGUACCAAAAACUAUCGAUAACCUUCUGAAUAAAUUCAACACGGUGUCGUGGGUUUUUCGUCUCUCGGAAUGGUCCCUGCGGUACCACAGUUGACGCUCGACCAAGAAGAAUAUCAUUGGGACACAGGAAACUUCCAUCAUCUGGGUCGUUGGGAAUCCUUCCAAUAGGCCUUUGAUUUAUCAGGUUAGCAGCUUCCAGCAAGUAUGUGUAUAGUUCAAAUGGGGUCAAAACUUGUUCACCAAUGGCGGUCUUCAGGGCUUUCUUUGAACUCUUUACCAUCGCUUCGGCGCAUCCGUUGUGGUGGGGCGCGACUGGAGUUAUGAACUUCCACUCCAUUCCUUUCUCAGCGCUGAAUUCCUUUAACUCUUUUUCAUUCCAUCCCUUUAUCAUCUCUCGGAGUUCACGCUCUGCUCCUACCAGUUGAGUACCGUUAUCAGAGAUCAUCAAUGCUGGUUGUCCUCGUAUUGCGAAGAAUCUGCGUAGCGUUUGUAGGAAUUCCAUUGUGGAGUAGUCGACUGCGAUUUCCAGAUGCACGGCUCGGGUAUUCAAGCAAGUAAAGAGAACGCCAUAAUGCUUCGUCGUCUUGCUUCGACCUAUCUUAACGUGGUAUGGACCGAAGUAAUCGCAUGCCGUGCGAUGGAAUGGUGGUGUAAGUGGCUCCAGACGGGUAAUUGGUAAAUCUGACAUGAACUGCUGUUCGACUUUCGCUUGAAUUCGGCGGCAGUCUACGCAUUGAAACUUUACCGACUUAGCAAGAUCAUGACAUCGAAUAAUCCAAUACUUUUUCUUGAUUUUUGCGACGGUUGUUGCAACUCCUGAAUGGCCAAUUUGGUGGUAAUAUCGAGUAAUCAGAAGAGACGUCCAGUGUUCACGUGGGAGUAAUACCGGGUGCUUAGCGUCGUAAGAGAUCACUGCUUUGUUUACGCGUCCUCCAACUCUGAUAAUACCCUCUUUGUCGAUGAAUGGCGUUAGUCCUUUAAGUUCUCCCUUUCUCAGGCGAGCGUGUAGUGACUUUUGACUUUGCUUUAUCCAGUACGAUUCUGCAUCUUGCAACUCUUUCGCGGAAGUCGGUUCAACCUCGGGU